This is a long non-coding RNA of Drosophila mojavensis, 395 nucleotides long. RefSeq lists it as uncharacterized. The transcript is spliced from 2 exons. The record is from RefSeq and is a predicted model, not a curated record. Lineage: Eukaryota; Metazoa; Arthropoda; Insecta; Diptera; Drosophilidae.
AAGGGUUUGUCAGCUAGUGGUAAUCAUUCAGCAAGUGAAAGGUGUUCAGCAUUCCUCAAAGCAGAAGGAAAUGCCAAAGAUUGAGGCAAAGCCUAUAAAUAUCAACAAAAAGGAAAUGAAAUAAUAUUAUUUCAGAUGAUGCUAAUUGGCAUACGGGGGCCGUUCACGACAUUAUCCCGUGACAAGCAGCCGGUAUGUUUGAAAUUAAAAAUGGAAAAUGUUAUCAUCAAUGUGCGACUGGAUGAAUGUGAAAAGGACUGAAUGAGCGGAAGCUGCCAAAGAACUAUGUAACGAAGGUUAUAGAUAAUUAAUUUACGUUGAUUAAAGUUGCCACAGCUGUCAGAGGCAAAGGAGGCCGUCGACAAAGUGCAGCCUGUUGUCGAGACAGCCGGAAA